This 188-nucleotide unclassified non-coding RNA is filed under the name plant metagenome. RNAcentral's name for it is "partial contains small subunit ribosomal RNA and internal transcribed spacer 1". The stretch from base 1 to 46 matches the Rfam family "Eukaryotic small subunit ribosomal RNA", at positions 1786 to 1831 of the family's 1831-position model. The record is from RNAcentral.
AAGUCAUAACAAGGUUUCCGUAGGUGAACCUGCGGGAGGAUCAUUAAUAAUGCUCUCUGGCUUCGGUCAGCUGAGUUCGAUGAGUGCCUUCUCUUCGGAGUUGGCCAUCCACACACACCGUGAACUGUGGCUUCGGCCAUCACAAACUGUUAGUAAUAUGAAUGAUAAUAUCAAAUAAACUUAAAAAC